UUGAAUCGUAAAAACUCUAUAUUUCUUUAUAAGUUUACAUGGUUUAGUUAUAGAGGAUUCCUUAUAACAUGUAGGCUAUAUAGGACAGCGCAAUGUUGGCAGUCUGUUCUUUGGGACCUUUGUGUCUAAUUGUUUUAUCUUUGCCAUUUUUUCUCCCCCUUCCAACAGACGUCUGUCCAGCUGUUGCAAAACUACAACUCCCAUCAUGCCCUGACAGCCGAAGGCGUAGUAGUAGUUUUGCAACAGCUGGACAGCCACAGGGGAUCACUGAUGAUGUAUGUCAAUCUCGGCCCAUGCUGUCUGAUCUUGAACUGGCAGCAGGAGCCACAACCACUUUACACAAUGAGCAGCGCUGACUGCCGGGACGUCUGCCGAGUGACGUCCUUCCACUCCACACCACAACGUCAGGGGCGUCACUAGUCAGACAUCCCAGCAGCCAGCGAUGCUCAUUGAGCCUGCUGGGAAGAAACCUAUGGCCCAGGCUGUUGGGGCCACCAAAUGAUAUUACAAAUACUUAGUGUCUGGUUAGGAGAAACAAAUAUAACACACCCACAAGGAGUAGCGCCAUUUUAUUAAAAAUUACCAAAAAUCCCUUAGAUAACAGUCAUGCAGAAUAUGUUAAAAAUCUUUUUUUUUUUCUAUUUUCAGCCAAUCAGAGAGCAGCACUACUGAAAUAGAACUCCCAGGAGGAGCAGCGUGUCACACAUGUGAUGUCAUAACCAUUGUCCACCAGAGAGCAGCACUGAGCAGAAAUAACACUGCUCCUGCUCAUUCUUCAUCAGUGAGGGGCUGAUGUUGGACACUGUAGGGACCCUGGAAUAUAGGUGCAUACACAUGACUGGUAAGUACACUUUCUAUAUACAUUUCUAUAAUAAACACAUACUAAAUAAUCUUUCUUUUCCUUUCUUUUCUUUUCUUUUUCUCUUUUAGAUGCAGUAUUUCCAGGAUGUGGAGUCGCAUUUCCGGACUUACAGUAAGAUGACUGUAUUUCCAGGAUGUGGAGUCGCAUUUCCGGACUUACAGCAAGAAGUUGGAUGAAGGCCCAGCCCCAGGAAUCACGCACAUACACAGACACAUUUGCCCAAAUUCUAGAGGUAACCUCCUUUAGUAUGCCCAGAGGAAGGGCAAUACAGUAGCCAUGGAUUCCCUACAGGUUUCCUCCCCUCUGGAGGUUUUUCCUGUCCUGAGUUAGUUACUGUACGCUCUUUGUGAGUGAUGGGAGGUUACAAAAAAAUCCCGACACAAACAUUUUAAUAAAUAAUAAAUAAAGUUCCCCUUUUUUAAACUGA
Molecule: long non-coding RNA, 1289 nt
Organism: Hyla sarda
Lineage: Eukaryota; Metazoa; Chordata; Amphibia; Anura; Hylidae
Exons: 2
Source: RefSeq, a predicted model, not a curated record